CGCUGCGGACGGAGCGGCGGUACGGGGCUGCUGCGCUCGCUAAGGAAGCGAGCGGCGCGUAUCGUCCGCCAUUUCACCCGCGGCCAGCGCGCCGCAGCGCCGCCAUUUUGAGUGCGGGCGCCGCCCUGCGGCUGCCGCUCCCCACCGCCGCCCCGUGCCGCCCGCACCCGGCCCUGCGGUGGUCGACCUCCUCGGCUGUGCCUCGCGGGCACCAAGCAGCAGAGUGUGUACUGAGUCUGCGAAGAGCCGCGCCGCGCCGCUUGGCCCCUUGCGCGGGGUCCGUCGCCCUGCCUACCCCUCGGCGCUGCGUGUCACCGCCGUGCGCGACAGCCGCUCCGCGCGCCAGCAGAUGGCAUCAACUUGGUGAAAAUUACCGAGCGAGGCCUCAGCAGUUCCCUCGGUCUUCAAGGAGGAUAACGAUCCGUCGCCUUCCCCUCCGUUUUGCCGGCGAUGCGAUGGCCCGGUGAGGCCCUGCCGCCCCGCCACCUGCUCGUGCCGUGGUGUCAGCGGCUCGAGGCCUUGCACUUCACAAGGAGCAGUCUGUUCCAGCCGGGGCUAUAAAGCUGCCCCUUGUCGGCUCGUCUAUGCAGUUACCACUCUCUUCCAUGCCAAUAUGUUACCUGCUUUGUGUGCCUGAGGUGAGCUCUGGUGCAGAUAACCAUGCCACAUAAGCACAAAAUACAACAUUGUGUUCAUAAAUCAGGAAUGUGCGUUUCCAGCCCUGACCCAAGCGGAGCCUUCUGUGGGUGCUCUAGCCCUUCCAGGACUGAACCCUCCAUUUGGCAGCUUCAUUAGCAGUUUCUUCCAGCCUCAGUCCAACUGGAACUUUGAGCUUUUUCCAGCCCUAUCCCUAUUCCUAAAACUACCCUAUCGCUAGCCCUUGAAAAACCACUGCAGCACGUGCCUAGAGUAUGGAUUUCCCGAGGGAUUUUCCGUUUGCAGUCCUUGUUUUCCUUUAGCAGCACCGUGCCAGCUGAAGCUUUGGCUUUUUAAAUUAAAAAAAAAAAAUAAAAUUUCUCUCCAUCCCUAACUGUAAGCCUGAUGCUGAACCAAAGGCCAGUGAUACUGUACAGUCCAGAGCCUUAAUAUUGUUGGGAGAAAAUUUCUUUUGGCAGCCCUAUUUCUCUUUGCCAGGCCUUUUCCAGCUCAAUCCCUGCUGCAUUUCAGGCUUUCCCUUUUUCGCUGUGCUAAUCCUAACCAUAGUUUGAGCUAUAAGCCAGGCACUAUUGAGAAACACAGUGUUCUUCAGAGGAGAAUUCUUCUGGCAGCCUUAAGUUUGCUUUGGCAGACCCUUUCCAGCCUCACUCCAGCUACAGCUCUGUAGUUUCUUCCAGCCUCAGCACUACAUAUGGGUAUGGUUCUUCACAGCCAAGUAAAACAGACUGUGAGAGCCUUGAGCCAGGAUCAAAGACAAAUAUAACGAGAAAAAAAAGGUGUUGAAUACAGAAUGAAGUACAGAAAUAGAAUGAAAGUUGCAGAUAAACUUUUGAGGACUGUGGAUCCGGAGCUUCCUUGUUUAAACCAUAAGAAAGGGAAUAUAGUGAACUGCUAGUUCUCAAAGUCAGAUAAGAGAGAUCAGGUGUGAGAGAGGUCUAAAAAUGCACCGGCACCUAGGAUCUUGAAGAGGAAUUUGAAUGAGAAGAACGAAGCUCAGGAACACACUAUAGAAGUGUGGAAAUUCCAUGUGUGAGGGCCAUACCUAGUGGGGUUCAAGGUCUGAUUCUUACUUACUCUGAAGAUUGUUGACUUCCCUUUGGAGUAAAUGGAAAUUCAGAGCUUUGAAGUCUGUAGCCCCAAGGUCUCCUAAAACAGAAUAAAGAAAAGCCAGUUUCAGUCCACAAAUGAUGUUGUUUAUUUAGAGUCUUGUAGUAUUUAUUCCAGAGUUUAUAACACUCUAAAAUUGCUGGGUACUAAAGGGUUCAUUACAAUAAUUAAUAUUUAAAUGUAUAAUUCAGUUAUUAAUAGUGGAAUAGUAAUAAUUUAUGCAGGGAAUCAAAUUUAUCUCUCACUACAGCAUGUAAUCAUGUAAAAAAAUCUCAGGGGAAUUUCAAAUAAGAUCCUCAAUCCUUCUCUGUCCCAAAUUGUUUCUUUAAUAGACAGUUUUGCCAGAAGCAACUGAAAUCCACAAAGGACCCACACUGCAGCAAAUUCUGCUGUUGAGACUGUCUCAUAGAAACUGACCUGCUAGCAGAUAUGCUUUUUCCAGUAGGUGGUCAACAAAUUUAAAUACUCUAGCGAGCAAAAGCAGUGAAUGCAAAUGAGUGGGAAAACAGUGGCCUCUUAUGUAUGCGAGUCUCAAACCAUCUAGGAGGUUUUGAGUCAAAAGUAGCAGGCUGCAUCCACUCUGUUGGUGCCACUGUAACACGCCUUUCUCUCAGGCAAGCGGUAGCUUCAGUCACUGUGCAGCUUUGUAUUACUGCAGAGCUUCGAAGCAGCUGGCUGAGCUUUUGCAGUAGUUCAAGCUCACACUGACAAAAAUGUGGAAUAACAGCAUGACAGCAAAGCUCAUUGGUGAGGUGGCAGCCAAAUGCACGCAUAAAAAUUGCUUUUUAAGUCUGAUCUUAAUAGAUCUUAAUGCUCUUCAUAGCAUUGUGUUCAAAUAUACUGUGUCCCCAACACCUGGAGGAGAAUCGAGUGUUUUUUAGCAUCUUCAUUAAUAACCUGGAUGAUGGGACAGAGUGCACCCUCAGAAGGUUUGCAGAUGACUCAAAGCCAUUGGUUGUGCUGCCAUUUAGAGGCAUGCUGAGGGGCGGGAGAACUGGGUAAAUGGGAAUGCCAUGAAAUUUAAGAAAGCAAAAUGCAAAUUCCCUCCCCUGGAGAGGAGCAGCCCCAUCCACCAGCACCAACAGGGGCAGAGCAGUUGGAGAGCAGCUUUGCAGAGAAGGUCCCGGGCUGAACAUUAACUAGCAAUGUGCCCUUGCCACAAAGAAGGCUAAAGAUAUUCUAGGUUGCAUUUGAGAGGGUGUUGCCUGCAGGUCAAGUGAGGCUCUUCUGUGAGUCUAUGAAAUGCCAACAUUAUGAUUCCUCAAAGAUCCACUUUUGUUUUUACAGAAAUAAUGUGCACCAACAAUACGUUUGGAAAAUAUGAAACAUUUUCCCCAGAUGGUAUAUAUAUAUCAAAAAUGACAUUUCCAAAGAAACAAAAAUACAAAAGAAAAAAACAGAAAGAUAAUGUUCUUUGAAGACAGAUGAAGAGAAAUCAAAAGGAUAAACAGGAAAAGUUGUAUUGACAUAAAAUUCUCUUAGGAUUUUAAUUUCAAUGGCUUGUGAUUUCACCUACAGCAGGCUUUGCAUUUGCUGGAUAUCUUCUAAUUAUCUAUGCUGGAUCAAGUUUUUGAUAUUAGUGGGUUAAAUUGUGCAGGAGCAGAAGACUCCGCUGUGUAGGGACUUUGAGGAUCCCAAAGGGAUGUGCGAGGUCAGCAGGGCAAGCUGCAGGUGCUGCCUCCCAGGCAAGAGCCAGGUGCGGAAUCAGCCCUUUUGCUGCUUCCCCAGCCUUGCGAGCCCCCAGGAGUGACAUGCCCAAUCACGGGUUGCUGCCAGGGCAUAAGGGAUGGUGGUGAGCAGCUGCAGUGCUCUAGGGGGAAAGCUGGUCUGACUGCCUGCACUCCCGAGGAGAUUAAUGCUUCCCUCCUCAAGUCUUGUACGAGAAACAUGUAUUUCCAAAGAAUAAAGUCAGCUGUACUUACAGAUAAAUGAUUUCUGAAGGGGUUUCGUGUCUUGCCAUAGAAAUGAGGAUCACCGCUAAUGCAAGCAUCUUCCAGGAAAUACCAUUCAAGGUAUUUUCAGCUGGGCAUUCUGCUUUCCCAGUCACCUGAAACAGGACAGUAAGAUGCUUAGGUGUAGCCCAGUGCGGUCCUGAAAAGCCACGUGAGCUGCAACAAGCCUAUUCCUCUGUUAAUAAAUAGGGUCAGUGUGAAUUUUGAAACUUAAGGUUUGGACACAAUAGACAUGGCAUCCUUCUGCACAAAAAGACAUCUCUGUCAAUUGUUCACAUGAUUGUAUUCCUUGGCAGAAAAUAAAUAAAUCUGUGGUUAGCACUAUUUCUCAUUAGGGUAAACCUUGCCAUUGAAUUUUUUCAAAUUAGAACUGAAGAAAAAUAUUUUGACUUUGUGGCAGUGCUGACUGUAACAUUCCAAGUCUCUCUCCUAGCAGACUGCGGGGGACUUUUGGACUGAAUUUGUUCCUGCUAUUUAUGUGACAAACUCACAUUCAUUAGGCAUCUAAUGUAAGCAUUUAACAUUAGAUAUCGUAGAACAGUGCAGUGUAAAGGGAAUUUGGAGAGCCAGAUUGAUAUGAAAUCAUGUAUUUUUCAUUAAUUAUAUAUUUUACAUCUGAUACGGAAAAUGAGGAUGACAGCAUUCAUUUCUAUUUCUGAAUUUAAUGACUGUUAAAAUAUGUGAAGGUCUGUAAACUUGAAUGUCAGAUCCCGAGUUCAGUAAAUUGCUUAAGCUCAUGAGUAACUACAGCACUAGUUGAAACAGCACCCUAAUGCUUUGAACUUAAAGCAUAAACUCAGACGGUUGCUUUAGUUGCUCGGGAGCCGUGCUUUGGUUACUGAAGUGCUCAAGGAGAGAUGAAGAUGAGUGCUUGUGUGAGCAAGGACCUGACGCUGGAUGAACAAGGACCUGCACCAAAUGAAUAGAGACACUGAACGUUUUGUUCACUGAAGAUUCUGUUUGAAUAAAUUGUACGUAAAAGGACA
This is a long non-coding RNA of Numida meleagris (helmeted guineafowl), 4702 nucleotides long. RefSeq lists it as uncharacterized. The transcript has 2 exons. The record is from RefSeq and is a predicted model, not a curated record. Lineage: Eukaryota; Metazoa; Chordata; Aves; Galliformes; Numididae.